This 447-nucleotide ribosomal RNA is filed under the name uncultured bacterium. RNAcentral describes it as "bacterial SSU rRNA". It matches the Rfam family "Bacterial small subunit ribosomal RNA", at positions 355 to 825 of the family's 1533-position model. The record is from RNAcentral.
UCGGGAAUUUUGGGCAAUGGGCGAAAGCCUGACCCAGCAACGCCGCGUGAAGGAUGAAGUAUUUCGGUAUGUAAACUUCGUAAGAAUAGGAAGAAUAAAUGACGGUACUAUUUGUAAGGUCCGGCUAACUACGUGCCAGCAGCCGCGGUAAUACGUAGGGACCAAGCGUUGUUCGGAUUUACUGGGCGUAAAGGGCGCGUAGGCGGUGUGUCAAGUCAGUUGUGAAAUCUCCGAGCUUAACUCGGAACGGUCAACUGAUACUGUCACACUAGAGUACAGAAGGGGCAAUCGGAAUUCUUGGUGUAGCGGUGAAAUGCGUAGAUAUCAAGAGGAACACCUGAGGCGAAGGCGGGUUGCUGGGCUGAUACUGACGCUGAGGCGCGAAAGCCAGGGGAGCAAACGGGAUUAGAUACCCACGUAGUCCCUGAGCGGGCUGGCAAGGCGCAU